CAAAAGCAGCAGACAAAAAGAAUAGAGAUAAAAUUUGCCUAAAACUGGGUAAAAGAAACAAUGUUCCAUGAAAUCGAAGGCAAAAACACGAGAUAGCAAACAAGACAUGCACACCGAUAUAUGUAUAUUCUGCAGAAAUGGGAGAAGGAACGUACCGAAUCAAAAUCAAUCAAUAGAGAAUGUAGAAAGAUAAAUUGAAGCGGUAUUGGUUUCGUAAUUUGUUUGGAGAGAGAAAUGGAAGGAAUUGAAAUUUGCAGGAGGAUAAUGAACCAAGAGUUGAAAAGCAAGUAAAUUGGAUCCGGAGAGAGAUUUUGUUUAUAUAAAGGUGUGGCGAGUCUGGGUUUAGCUCAACGGCUUAACGGAAAAAUAAAUUUUAA
This 377-nucleotide long non-coding RNA is filed under the name Olea europaea (common olive). RNAcentral describes it as "long non-coding RNA (OEUR_LNC008042)". Lineage: Eukaryota; Viridiplantae; Streptophyta; Magnoliopsida; Lamiales; Oleaceae. The record is from RNAcentral.